Non-coding RNA from Coturnix japonica (Japanese quail), 1069 nucleotides. NCBI's taxonomy places the organism in Eukaryota, Metazoa, Chordata, Aves, Galliformes, Phasianidae. The record is from RefSeq and is a predicted model, not a curated record.
CCUGAGGCAGCAGUGUGGGACAGUAAGGAUGUGGGAGCAGGACCACGUGGCUGUGGGAUGGACUGUUCAAGAUGCUCUUGCAGAGGAAUGAGCUCCAGCUCUGAGGACAAGAGAGACCGGCAGUGGUAGCUGAAGCCAUGAAGUGACUUGGCUGGAUGUCUCCACCAGUGAUGUGACUGUGCUUAGCAAGAAAGAAGCGGUGCUGGGCAGCUCUGAGAGAGCAGAAUGUGGGCUUGAACUGUCACUUGCAGAAGCAUUUCAGAGAGCAAACCACCUCUAUUUGAAAGACAAGCUGAACUCUUUGAGCCUCGUAGCCAGACUGGAUUAAAUAAGGGGAUCUUGAAUAAAAUUCUGCUUUAAGAACAAAAUAGCUGAGACUGUUUCUCAGUUUGUCUUUAAGCAAUUUCUUCAACCAAAAGCAAUAGUGCAAUUUGCUUUUCUUUGGAAGCCCCGUGGCCUCUGAUCUCAUGGAAAGCUGAACCAUAGGGCUGAGUGAGAAAUGCUUCUGGAAAAUGGAGUUUGUGAGUUUGGACUCGGGGCUUUCCAUAAAUGCCUUCCAAUCCAUUGAUUCUGUGCUUCUGUGGAAUACCUGCUUUGUUUUUUGUCUUGUGCUUUGUAUUCCAUGGUCAAAACACAGUGGGCCAGAGGUAAUGGAAUUUCAUGUGUCAUGAAGGGAGAUGAACAAAGCUGGAUUACUGCUAGAUUGGCUUCUCUAGUAAAGAGGAACUUGUGCCUGUGUGGUCUGUGGUGAAUUUUAGCAGAGGCCAUGCACUGAAAGUAGCAUCAUACAACACCUAGUGUGGUGGAUGCAGUCUACGCGAUUCUGAGUUGCAUCAAAGACUGGGCUUGUGGUGCUUAGAUAAAAUGUAAAAUUAUUUGAUUUACUUUCCUUAGGUCUGUAAAUUAUCAUCUGUGAGCAAAUAAUGCCAGCAAACAGAAUAAAUAUAACAAGUGGGAUCCUUCCCCUAUAGCCGUGGAUUGUUUGACACUUAAGGCAGCUUUUGCAGAUUGCUAAAAUAUUUUCUGAAUUGGAUACAGCUGAGGGAGCUGCUUGAUAUGAAGCUGGAAA